RNAcentral lists this ribosomal RNA (598 nucleotides) under Haemophilus haemolyticus. RNAcentral describes it as "bacterial SSU rRNA". It matches the Rfam family "Bacterial small subunit ribosomal RNA", at positions 88 to 682 of the family's 1533-position model. Lineage: Bacteria; Pseudomonadati; Pseudomonadota; Gammaproteobacteria; Pasteurellales; Pasteurellaceae. The record is from RNAcentral.
CUGACGAGUGGCGGACGGGUGAGUAAUGCUUGGGAAUCUGGCUUAUGGAGGGGGAUAACUACGGGAAACUGUAGCUAAUACCGCGUAGAGUCGAGAGACGAAAGUGCGGGACCGCAAGGCCGCAUGCCAUGAGAUGAGCCCAAGUGGGAUUAGGUAGUUGGUGGGGUAAAGGCCUACCAAGCCUGCGAUCUCUAGCUGGUCUGAGAGGAUGGCCAGCCACACUGGAACUGAGACACGGUCCAGACUCCUACGGGAGGCAGCAGUGGGGAAUAUUGCGCAAUGGGGGGAACCCUGACGCAGCCAUGCCGCGUGAAUGAAGAAGGCCUUCGGGUUGUAAAGUUCUUUCGGUAUUGAGGAAGGGAUGUGUGCUAAUAGUACAUAUCAUUGACGUUAAAUACAGAAGAAGCACCGGCUAACUCCGUGCCAGCAGCCGCGGUAAUACGGAGGGUGCGAGCGUUAAUCGGAAUAACUGGGCGUAAAGGGCACGCAGGCGGUUAUUUAAGUGAGGUGUGAAAGCCCCGGGCUUAACCUGGGAAUUGCAUUUCAGACUGGGUAACUAGAGUACUUUAGGGAGGGGUAGAAUUCCACGUGUAGCGGU